RNAcentral lists this non-coding RNA (117 nucleotides) under Frateuria aurantia. RNAcentral's name for it is "SAM-I sequence". It matches the Rfam family "SAM riboswitch aptamer (S box leader)". From Rfam's summary of the family: The SAM riboswitch is found upstream of a number of genes which code for proteins involved in methionine or cysteine biosynthesis in Gram-positive bacteria. The SAM riboswitch acts at the level of transcription termination control. Lineage: Bacteria; Pseudomonadati; Pseudomonadota; Gammaproteobacteria; Lysobacterales; Rhodanobacteraceae. RNAcentral also lists the same sequence under 1 other name. The record is from RNAcentral.
UACUCAUCGAGACCGGCGGAGGGACAGGCCCUUGGAUGCCGGGGCAACCUGCAGAUCAUGCUGCAACGGUGCCAACUCCUGCGGAGCGUUCCAUGGACGCUUUCCGGAAGAUGGGCG